GUCCCUGUAGCGCAACGGAUAGCGCGUUGGACUUCUAAUCCAAAGGGCGUGCAUUCGAAUUCCCCCUGGGAUA
RNAcentral lists this transfer RNA (73 nucleotides) under Trichonephila clavata. It matches the Rfam family "tRNA". From Rfam's summary of the family: Transfer RNA (tRNA) molecules are approximately 80 nucleotides in length. Their secondary structure includes four short double-helical elements and three loops (D, anti-codon, and T loops). The record is from Rfam by way of RNAcentral. Lineage: Eukaryota; Metazoa; Arthropoda; Arachnida; Araneae; Nephilidae.